RNAcentral lists this ribosomal RNA (253 nucleotides) under uncultured bacterium. RNAcentral's name for it is "partial 16S ribosomal RNA". It matches the Rfam family "Bacterial small subunit ribosomal RNA", at positions 524 to 776 of the family's 1533-position model. The record is from RNAcentral.
UACGAAGGGUGCAAGCGUUACUCGGAAUUACUGGGCGUAAAGCGUGCGUAGGUGGUUUGUUAAGUCUGUUGUGAAAGCCCGGGGCUCAACCUGGGAAUGGCAAUGGAUACUGGCAAGCUAGAGUGCGGUAGAGGGUAGUGGAAUUCCCGGUGUAGCGGUGAAAUGCGUAGAGAUCGGGAGGAACACCAGUGGCGAAGGCGGCUACCUGGACCAGCACUGACACUGAGGCACGAAAGCGUGGGGAGCAAACAGG